AAUUAUUUAUUCAAGAAAGGGCGUUUUGGAGAAGCGACGCGGGUGACGGGGAAGAUGGUGCAAGUCCAUCACGGUGCCGCCACUGUAAGCGGGGAGUAAUUCUGCAUCAUGCCACUGUCUGAAGACCGUGAUCAGUGAUCAGUGAUGAGUAAUGGGUGGGAAUAGGUACGCCUAUUCCGAACCGGUCACUCUUCACACAUCACUCAUCACAGUGAGAUGGGAAGGCGCAAAAACACGACGAUCCGCAAGUCAGGAGACCCAUCCCGCAGUUGGUUCGACU
Nitrospirae bacterium RBG_19FT_COMBO_58_9 is the source of this 280-nucleotide non-coding RNA. The record is from Rfam. NCBI's taxonomy places the organism in Bacteria, Pseudomonadati, Nitrospirota.